GUUUUGAAGAAAGGAUGGUCUCUGAUAUUCCCAGUGACCCCAAGUCGUUUUGCUGGAUCUCUUUCAAAGAGCUGCAAGAGAAGACAGCUGGUAAAGCCUUUCAUCUGCUCAAAAGAGGGAGAUGGACAAUACCAGAUGUUUGGGGCAUGUUUACCUAAGGCCUUUUGUAAGGCUCUGAAGCACAGAGACAUCAUUCUUUGGACCUGUUUGUUACGCAGAGCAGAAUGAAUGUUGACCCAAAACUUCACAAAUAGGCUGAGGGGAUACCAGGAGAGGCUGCCAGAUGCAGAGAUGUUUGCUGGAAUGCAGUGUUUAUUAAAAAAGAUUGUCUAACACAAGGCAAGAAUAAAUACUUAAAUUGUCUGGUAAGUAAAUGGCCAUAUGGAAACAUUUUCCCUUUUCUUACCUGUUGUAUCUCCUCCUGGAGCUUUAUGUUUCUUAUCAAAAUCUUGAUAAAUACCAACACUUUCUACAGACCCAGAAUCGGACCUUCGUGUAGACUUCUGAGGAGAGGGAACACUUGAAAUUAUAUUAGCUCUACUACUUUAGAAAUACAGUAAUAUCUGUAAAUGUAACGUGAUGGCAGUAUAAACUUUUCUUUUUAAUUAUUAACUCCCAGUACACAUCUUUUCUCAAGAAGUCUGGUUCAUAGACUCUUUAGCCACUUUCUUUACAGCUUCAGAUCAGCCAAUUGCUUUAUUUCCUUCACUGCAAGAAAAUAAGUCACCGAAAUUCCUGGACAGUCUAUGUUGUAUUGUUCAUUGCAAAAUUAUUAAAGGUACAGUGGUUUGGAUUCACAGUGGGAACAAAUUAAACUGUGGGAAAAUGUCCCCUUGGAUGUAUGUUCAUUUGAAUGAGGAGAUGGGAGUCACUGUCAUACUGGACAGGCUUAAGUCAUAUCUGUGUAUGACAUCCAUCUUUAGCACAUAGAAACAAAUUUUAUGUGUGAAAGAUCCCCAAGACCAAAUUUUAGUAAGGAAAAGAUUAAGUUUUUCUGGGUCAUGAAAGAGCUGGCACAACAGCUCUCACUGUUUCCAAAGUAAAUAUCCUGUGAAAGCUUAAGAAUACACAGCUCAGAGGAAGCACUGUUGGCUUUUGUGAUAUAUUUUCCUGUUUUAUUUCAGGGCUUGUGUCUGAGUCUUUAUUUGCAAGUCAGAAGUCAGCCACAAAAGACAGUCAUGCUGCAGCAGGAGAUGAACAAGCUAUGGGGCCAGUGUUAAUUAGAGGAGUUUUCUCUGUAUGUGUAUAUAUAUAUAU
This is a long non-coding RNA of Neopelma chrysocephalum (saffron-crested tyrant-manakin), 1257 nucleotides long. RefSeq lists it as uncharacterized. The transcript has 4 exons. The record is from RefSeq and is a predicted model, not a curated record. NCBI's taxonomy places the organism in Eukaryota, Metazoa, Chordata, Aves, Passeriformes, Pipridae.